Molecule: ribosomal RNA, 465 nt
Filed under: uncultured bacterium
Lineage: Bacteria
Description: partial 16S ribosomal RNA
Rfam family: Bacterial small subunit ribosomal RNA
Source: RNAcentral
GACGAACGCUGGCGGCGUGCUUAACACAUGCAAGUCGAACGGAAAGGCCCCUUUGGGUGUACUCGAGUGGCGAACGGGUGAGUAACACGUGAGUAACCUGCCCUUGACUCCGGGAUAACUUUAGGAAACUGGGGCUAAUACCGGAUAGGAAUCCUUGCUGCAUGGUGGGGGUUGGAAAGCUUCGGCGGUUUUGGAUGGACUCGCGGCUUAUCAGCUUGUUGGUGGGGUAGUGGCUUACCAAGGCUUUGACGGGUAGCCGGCCUGGGAGGGCGACCGGCCACAUUGGGACUGAGAUACGGCCCAGACUCCUACGGGAGGCAGCAGUGGGGAAUAUUGCACAAUGGGCGGAAGCCUGAUGCAGCAACGCCGCGUGCGGGAUGACGGCCUUCGGGUUGUAAACCGCUUUCAGCAGGGGCGAAGCUUGUGGUGAAGGUGCCUGCAGGAGAAGCACCGGCUAACUACGUG